AGAGAGAGAGAGAGUACGAUUGGCGUUAGAUUUUCUCGCAUCAGGUUUAUGUAGAAGAGAGUUUUUUAUUUUUUCUUUUCCAUUUAAAGUCUGUCAUGGCAUCAUAGUUGUUACCCUUACACAGUUAUUGCUGAUAAAUAAACAUGACUGCACAAAUAAGCAGUCGUUGUCACAAAUCCGAUGAUCAUCAUUAGUGAUCGCGAUCUAUCCCACGUGAUUGUACCCCCGGCACGUACAAUGGCCUCAUCUCUUUUCUGGCACCCUACUUGCUAACUAUACUUCAAUAUAUGGCUAACGAAAAGCUAAGGAAACGGGAAACCAAGCUACUUACGCCCCGUUUAUCAAGAAGGAAAUACUCCCCAACAGAGUUUUACCCUUUGUUUGCA
RNAcentral lists this unclassified non-coding RNA (386 nucleotides) under Hevea brasiliensis (rubber tree). Lineage: Eukaryota; Viridiplantae; Streptophyta; Magnoliopsida; Malpighiales; Euphorbiaceae. The record is from RNAcentral.